AACGAACGCUGGCGGCAUGCCUAACACAUGCAAGUCGAACGAGACCGUCGGGUCUUGUGGCGCACGGGUGCGUACCGCGUGGGAACCUGCCCUUAGGUUCGGAAUCACUCCCCGAAAGGGGUGCUAAUACCGGAUAAUGUCUUCGGACCAAGGAUUUAUCGCCUUUGGAUGGGCCCGCGUUGGAUUAGCUAGUUGGUAGGGUAAAAGCCUACCAAGGCGACGAUCCAUAGCUGGUCUGAGAGGAUGAUCAGCCACACUGGGACUGGGACACGGCCCAGACGCCUACGGGAGGCAGCAGUGGGGAAUAUUGGACAGUGGGCGAAAGCCUGAUCCGGCAAGGCCGCGAGAGUGAUGAAGGCCUUAGGGUUGUAAAGCUCUUUUACCCGGGAUGAUAAUGACAGUACCGGGAGAAUAAGCUCCGGCUAACUCCGU
This 432-nucleotide ribosomal RNA is filed under the name uncultured bacterium. RNAcentral describes it as "partial 16S ribosomal RNA". It matches the Rfam family "Bacterial small subunit ribosomal RNA", at positions 29 to 506 of the family's 1533-position model. The record is from RNAcentral.